GACGAACGCUGGCGGCGUGCCUAAUACAUGCAAGUCGAGCGCAGGAAAUCGACGGAACCCUUCGGGGGGGAAGUUGACGGAAUGAGCGGCGGACGGGUGAGUAACACGUAAAGAACCUGCCCUCAGGUCUGGGAUAACCACGAGAAAUCGGGGCUAAUACCGGAUAGGUCAUCGGACCGCAUGGUCCGAGGAUGAAAGGCGCUUCGGCGUCGCCUGGGGAUGGCUUUGCGGUGCAUUAGCUAGUUGGUGGGGUAAUGGCCCACCAAGGCGACGAUGCAUAGCCGACCUGAGAGGGUGAUCGGCCACACUGGGACUGAGACACGGCCCAGACUCCUACGGGAGGCAGCAGUAGGGAAUCUUCCACAAUGGACGAAAGUCUGAUGGAGCAACGCCGCGUGAACGAUGAAGGCCUUCGGGUCGUAAAGUUCUGUUGUAAGGGAAGAACAAGUGCCGCAGGCAAUGGCGGCACCUUGACGGUACCUUGCGAGAAAGCCACGGCUAACUACGUGCCAGCAGCCGCCGUAA
RNAcentral lists this ribosomal RNA (525 nucleotides) under uncultured bacterium. RNAcentral's name for it is "partial 16S ribosomal RNA". It matches the Rfam family "Bacterial small subunit ribosomal RNA", at positions 28 to 523 of the family's 1533-position model. The record is from RNAcentral.